AAAAAUUUUUAUUCUCCCUAGGGUGCUAGCUCUCUUGCAGAGAAUGCUUUCUUAAUGGUUGAAUAGAAUCUCCUUCAAUCUCCAAGACAACCUCAAGAAGGAAGAAGAAAGGAGGAAGAAGAGGAAGACAAGAGAGGAAGAACCCUUCUAUCUCCCUUUUCUCUCAAACACCUCAUGCCCAAGGGAAGUCAUGCCCCCUAUUUUUCCACACCCCAAAGCUCUCUAUUUUGUGUGUGAGGUUUGAUCCCAGGUCACUUAAUUCUAACAUCCCAUGACCCCUCCUUAAG
Molecule: long non-coding RNA, 287 nt
Filed under: Elaeis guineensis (African oil palm)
Lineage: Eukaryota; Viridiplantae; Streptophyta; Magnoliopsida; Arecales; Arecaceae
Description: long non-coding RNA (EGUI_LNC040743)
Source: RNAcentral